This 468-nucleotide ribosomal RNA is filed under the name uncultured bacterium. RNAcentral's name for it is "partial 16S ribosomal RNA". It matches the Rfam family "Bacterial small subunit ribosomal RNA", at positions 29 to 507 of the family's 1533-position model. The record is from RNAcentral.
AACGAACGCUGGCGGCGUGCUUAACACAUGCAAGUCGAACGGAAAGUCCCUGCUUUGUUGCGCUGCGCUAGUGGCGAACGGGUGAGUAACACUUAAGUAACCUGCCAUUCCCUUUGGGGUAACUUCAUGAAACUGGAUCUAAUACCGGAUAGGAUCUCCUGCUGCAUGGUGGGGGUUGGAAAGUUUCGGCGGUUGGGGAUGGACUCGCGGCUUAUGAGCUUGUUGGUUGGGUAGUGGCAUACCAAGGCUUUGACCGGUAGCAGGCCUGAGAGGGUGACCGGCCCCAUUGGGACUGAGAUAAGGCACAGCCUAGACUGGGAGGCAACAGAGGGGAAUAUUGUACAGUGGGAGGGAGCAUGGUGUGACAACGCCGCGUGCGGGAAGACGGCCUGCGGGUAGUAAACCGCAUCUGUUUGAGACGAAGCGUGAGUGACGGUACCGGGUAAAGAAGCACCGGCUAACUACGUG